UACAGAGGGUGCAAGCGUUGCUCGGAAUCAUUGGGCGUAAAGGGUAGGUAGGUGGUCUUAUUUGUCUGGGGUGAAAUCCUCGAGCUUAACUCGAGAAGUGCCCCAGAAACGGUGAGACUAGAGUUCUGGAGAGGGUCGUGGAAUUCCCGGUGUAGCGGUGAAAUGCGUAGAGAUCGGGAGGAACACCAGAGGCGAAGGCGGCGACCUGGACAGAUACUGACACUCAACUACGAAAGCGUGGGGAGCAAACAGG
RNAcentral lists this ribosomal RNA (253 nucleotides) under uncultured bacterium. RNAcentral describes it as "partial 16S ribosomal RNA". It matches the Rfam family "Bacterial small subunit ribosomal RNA", at positions 524 to 776 of the family's 1533-position model. The record is from RNAcentral.